Molecule: ribosomal RNA, 1292 nt
Filed under: Staphylococcus aureus
Lineage: Bacteria; Bacillati; Bacillota; Bacilli; Caryophanales; Staphylococcaceae
Description: partial 23S ribosomal RNA
Rfam family: Bacterial large subunit ribosomal RNA
Source: RNAcentral
GAUUAAGUUAUUAAGGGCGCACGGUGGAUGCCUUGGCACUAGAAGCCGAUGAAGGACGUUACUAACGACGAUAUGCUUUGGGGAGCUGUAAGUAAGCUUUGAUCCAGAGAUUUCCGAAUGGGGAAACCCAGCAUGAGUUAUGUCAUGUUAUCGAUAUGUGAAUACAUAGCAUAUCAGAAGGCACACCCGGAGAACUGAAACAUCUUAGUACCCGGAGGAAGAGAAAGAAAAUUCGAUUCCCUUAGUAGCGGCGAGCGAAAUGGGAAGAGCCCAAACCAACAAGCUUGCUUGUUGGGGUUGUAGGACACUCUAUACGGAGUUACAAAGGACGACAUUAGACGAAUCAUCUGGAAAGAUGAAUCAAAGAAGGUAAUAAUCCUGUAGUCGAAAAUGUUGUCUCUCUUGAGUGGAUCCUGAGUACGACGGAGCACGUGAAAUUCCGUCGGAAUCUGGGAGGACCAUCUCCUAAGGCUAAAUACUCUCUAGUGACCGAUAGUGAACCAGUACCGUGAGGGAAAGGUGAAAAGCACCCCGGAAGGGGAGUGAAAUAGAACCUGAAACCGUGUGCUUACAAGUAGUCAGAGCCCGUUAAUGGGUGAUGGCGUGCCUUUUGUAGAAUGAACCGGCGAGUUACGAUUUGAUGCAAGGUUAAGCAGUAAAUGUGGAGCCGUAGCGAAAGCGAGUCUGAAUAGGGCGUUUAGUAUUUGGUCGUAGACCCGAAACCAGGUGAUCUACCCUUGGUCAGGUUGAAGUUCAGGUAACACUGAAUGGAGGACCGAACCGACUUACGUUGAAAAGUGAGCGGAUGAACUGAGGGUAGCGGAGAAAUUCCAAUCGAACCUGGAGAUAGCUGGUUCUCUCCGAAAUAGCUUUAGGGCUAGCCUCAAGUGAUGAUUAUUGGAGGUAGAGCACUGUUUGGACGAGGGGCCCCUCUCGGGUUACCGAAUUCAGACAAACUCCGAAUGCCAAUUAAUUUAACUUGGGAGUCAGAACAUGGGUGAUAAGGUCCGUGUUCGAAAGGGAAACAGCCCAGACCACCAGCUAAGGUCCCAAAAUAUAUGUUAAGUGGAAAAGGAUGUGGCGUUGCCCAGACAACUAGGAUGUUGGCUUAGAAGCAGCCAUCAUUUAAAGAGUGCGUAAUAGCUCACUAGUCGAGUGACACUGCGCCGAAAAUGUACCGGGGCUAAACAUAUUACCGAAGCUGUGGAUUGUCCUUUGGACAAUGGUAGGAGAGCGUUCUAAGGGCGUUGAAGCAUGAUCGUAAGGACAUGUGGAGCGCUUAGAAGUGAGAA